UGGCUCAGUAACCCCACGGGAGC
RNAcentral lists this non-coding RNA (23 nucleotides) under Mus musculus (house mouse). Lineage: Eukaryota; Metazoa; Chordata; Mammalia; Rodentia; Muridae. The record is from RNAcentral.